GGUAAAUCCGGUUCACUUUAACACUGAGGCGUGAUGACGAGGCACUACGGUGCUGAAGCAACAAAUGCCCUGCUUCCAGGAAAAGCCUCUAAGCAUCAGGUAACAUCAAAUCGUACCCCAAACCGACACAGGUGGUCAGGUAGAGAAUACCAAGGCGCUUGAGAGAACUCGGGUGAAGGAACUAGGCAAAAUGGUGCCGUAACUUCGGGAGAAGGCACGCUGACACGUAGGUGAAGUGAUUUACUCACGGAGCUGAAGUCAGUCGAAGAUACCAGCUGGCUGCAACUGUUUAUUAAAAACACAGCACUGUGCAAACACGAAAGUGGACGUAUACGGUGUGACGCCUGCCCGGUGCCGGAAGGUUAAUUGAUGGGGUCAGCGCAAGCGAAGCUCCUGAUCGAAGCCCCGGUAAACGGCGGCCGUAACUAUAACGGUCCUAAGGUAGCGAAAUUCCUUGUCGGGUAAGUUCCGACCUGCACGAAUGGCGUAAUGAUGGCCAGGCUGUCUCCACCCGAGACUCAGUGAAAUUGAACUCGCUGUGAAGAUGCAGUGUACCCGCGGCAAGACGGAAAGACCCCGUGAACCUUUACUAUAGCUUGACACUGAACAUUGAGCCUUGAUGUGUAGGAUAGGUGGGAGGCUUUGAAGUGUGGACGCCAGUCUGCAUGGAGCCGGCCUUGAAAUACCACCCUUUAAUGUUUGAUGUUCUAACGUGGACCCGUGAUCCGGGUUGCGGACAGUGUCUGGUGGGUAGUUUGACUGGGGCGGUCUCCUCCUAAAGAGUAACGGAGGAGCACGAAGGUUGGCUAAUCCUGGUCGGACAUCAGGAGGUUAGUGCAAUGGCAUAAGCCAGCUUGACUGCGAGCGUGACGGCGCGAGCAGGUGCGAAAGCAGGUCAUAGUGAUCCGGUGGUUCUGAAUGGAAGGGCCAUCGCUCAACGGAUAAAAGGUACUCCGGGGAUAACAGGCUGAUACCGCCCAAGAGUUCAUAUCGACGGCGGUGUUUGGCACCUCGAUGUCGGCUCAUCACAUCCUGGGGCUGAAGUAGGUCCCAAGGGUAUGGCUGUUCGCCAUUUAAAGUGGUACGCGAGCUGGGUUUAGAACGUCGUGAGACAGUUCGGUCCCUAUCUGCCGUGGGCGCUGGAGAACUGAGGGGGGCUGCUCCUAGUACGAGAGGACCGGAGUGGACGCAUCACUGGUGUUCGGGUUGUCAUGCCAAUGGCACUGCCCGGUAGCUAAAUGCGGAAGAGAUAAGUGCUGAAAGCAUCUAAGCACGAAACUUGCCCCGAGAUGAGUUCUCCCUGAGACUUAGAGUCUCCUGAAGGAACGUUGAAGACGACGACGUUGAUAGGCCGGGUGUGUAAGCGCAGCGAUGCGUUGAGCUAACCGGUACUAAUGAACCGUGAGGCUUAACCUUACAACGCCG
RNAcentral lists this ribosomal RNA (1425 nucleotides) under Salmonella enterica. RNAcentral's name for it is "partial 23S ribosomal RNA". It matches the Rfam family "Bacterial large subunit ribosomal RNA", at positions 1535 to 2925 of the family's 2925-position model. Lineage: Bacteria; Pseudomonadati; Pseudomonadota; Gammaproteobacteria; Enterobacterales; Enterobacteriaceae. The record is from RNAcentral.